AGAGUUUGAUCCUGGCUCAGAACGAACACUGGCGGCGUGGAUUAGGCAUGCAAGUCGAACGAGAAAGUUUCCUUCGGGAGACGAGUACAGUGGCGAACGGGUGAGUAACGCGUGGGAAAUCUGCCCUUUAAUGGGGGAUAACAGAUCUAACGAUCUGCUAAUACCGCAUAAGCCCUCUAGGUUGCAUGACCCGGAGGGGAAAGAUGGCCUCUACAUGUAAGCUGUCGUUGAAGGAUGAUCCCGCGUCCCAUUAGCUAGUUGGUGGGGUAAAGGCCUACCAAGGCGACGAUGGGUAGCCGGCCUGAGAGGGUGUCCGGCCACACUGGGACUGAGAUACGGCCCAGACUCCUACGGGAGGCAGCAGUCGAGAAGCAUCCGCAAUGGGCGAAAGCCUGACGGUGCGACGCCGCGUGAGCGAAGAAGGCCCUAUGGGUUGUAAAGCUCUGUCAGAUUGGGAAGAAAGCAAUGCGGUUAAUACCCGUGUUGUUUGACGGUACCAUCAGAGGAAGCACCGGCUAACUCCGUGCCAGCAGCCGCGGUAAUACGGAGGGUGCAAGCGUUGUUCGGAUUCACUGGGUAUAAAGGGUGCGCAGGCGGCCUGAUAAGUCAGAGGUGAAAUAUGUCGGCUCAACCGGCAAACGGCCCCUGAAACUGUCAGGCUUGAGUUCGAGAGAGGUAGGUGGAAUUCCAGGUGUAGCGGUGAAAUGCGUAAAUAUCUGGAGGAACACCGGUGGCGAAGGCGGCCUACUGGCUCGGAACUGACGCUCAGGCACGAAAGCUAGGGGAGCGAACGGGAUUAGAUACCCCGGUAGUCCUAGCCGUAAACGAUGGGCACUAGGUGUUGGAGGAGUCUACCCCUUCAGUGCCGCAGCUAACGCAUUAAGUGCCCCACCUGGGGAGUACGAUCGCAAGGUUGAAACUCAAAGGAAUUGACGGGGGCCCGCACAAGCGGUGGAGCAUGUGGUUUAAUUCGAUGCAACGCGAAGAACCUUACCUGGGCUUGACAUGCAGGGGACAGGUGUAGAAAUACGCCCUUUCUUCGGAACCCUUGUACAGGUGCUGCAUGGCUGUCGUCAGCUCGUGUCGUGAAAUGUUGGGUUAAGUCCCGCAACGAGCGCAACCCUUGUCUUUAGUUGCCAUCAGGUUAUGCUGGGGACUCUAGAGAGACUGCCGGUGACAAACCGGAGGAAGGUGGGGACGACGUCAAGUCAUCAUGGCCCUUACGCCCAGGGCUACACACGUGCUACAAUGGUCGGUACAAAGGGCUGCAAUACAGCGAUGUGGAGCGAAUCCCAAAAAGCCGGCCUCAGUUCGGAUCGUAGUCUGCAACUCGACUACGUGAAGUUGGAAUCGCUAGUAAUCGCGUAUCAGAACGACGCGGUGAAUACGUUCCCGGGCCUUGUACACACCGCCCGUCAAGUCAACCGAGUUGGCUGCACCCCAAGUCGCUGAGCUAACCCCUUCGGGGGAGGCAAGUGCCCAAGGUGUGAUUGGCGAGGGGGACUAAGUCGUAACAAGGUAGCC
This 1524-nucleotide ribosomal RNA is filed under the name uncultured prokaryote. RNAcentral describes it as "partial 16S ribosomal RNA". It matches the Rfam family "Bacterial small subunit ribosomal RNA". The record is from RNAcentral.